AACGAACGCUGGCGGCAGGCCUAACACAUGCAAGUCGAGCGCCCCGCAAGGGGAGCGGCGGACGGGUGAGUAACGCGUGGGAACGUACCCUUUGCUACGGAAUAGCCUCGGGAAACUGGGAGUAAUACCGUAUGUGCCCUUCGGGGGAAAGAUUUAUCGGCAAAGGAUCGGCCCGCGUUGGAUUAGGUAGUUGGUGGGGUAAUGGCCUACCAAGCCGACGAUCCAUAGCUGGUUUGAGGAGGAUGAUCAGCCACACGUGGGACUGAGACACGGCCCAGACUCCGUACGGGAGGCAGCAGUGGGGAAUCUUAGACAAUGGGCGCAAGCCUGAUCUAGCCAUGCCGCGUGAGCGAUGAAGGCCUUAGGGUUGUAAAGCUCUUUCAGUGGGGAAGAUAAUGACUGUACCCACAGAAGAAGCCCCGGACUAACUCCGUGCCAGCAGCCG
This 445-nucleotide ribosomal RNA is filed under the name uncultured bacterium. Its description in RNAcentral is "bacterial SSU rRNA". It matches the Rfam family "Bacterial small subunit ribosomal RNA", at positions 29 to 517 of the family's 1533-position model. The record is from RNAcentral.